UGGGGAAUUUUGGACAAUGGGGGCAACCCUGAUCCAGCCAUGCCGCGUGCAGGAAGAAGGCCCUAUGGGUCGUAAACUGCUUUUGAACAAGAGAAAACCCCGGUACGUGUACUGGGUUGAUAGUAUUGUUAGAAUAAGCAUCGGCUAACUUCGUGCCAGCAGCCGCGGUAAUACGUAGGGUGCAGGCGUUAAUCGGAAUUACUGGGCGUAAAGCGUGCGCAGGCGGUUUGUUAAGACAGGUGUGAAAUCCCCGGGCUUAACCUGGGAAUUGCGCUUGUAACUGGCAGGCUAGAGUGUGGCAGAGGGGGGUGGAAUUCCACGUGUAGCAGUGAAAUGCGUAGAUAUGUGGAGGAACACCGAUGGCGAAGGCAGCCCCCUGGGUUAACACUGACGCUCAUGCACGAAAGCGUGGGGAGCAAACAGGAUUAGAUACCCAUGUAGUCCCUGAGCGGGCUGGCAAGGCGCAU
Molecule: ribosomal RNA, 467 nt
Filed under: uncultured bacterium
Lineage: Bacteria
Description: bacterial SSU rRNA
Rfam family: Bacterial small subunit ribosomal RNA
Source: RNAcentral